GGAUGUGAGGGUGAUCUGGAUGCGACAUCUCAGACCACUGAUCAUCAGAAUUGAUUCAGCUAGGCCAGGCUGGUGUCCCUUUCCCCUGUCACGGCUCAUUCCAUGUGUGUCCCUCCUGAAACUGCAGGCUUGUUGGAAGGAUUAUUUGGUCAAGGUUAUAGGAUAGCUGCUCUCUUCUGCUUCAACCUCAAAAAAAAAAAAAAAAAAAAAAGUGAAGGAAGGAUGGAAGAUUCAUUCAGUGGCUGCUCCCCCCAGCAUGGGCUUAGAGCUUUUAGCUCUAUGUCUAUACAU
Podarcis lilfordi (Lilford's wall lizard) is the source of this 291-nucleotide non-coding RNA. The record is from the annotation of a GenBank genome assembly. Lineage: Eukaryota; Metazoa; Chordata; Lepidosauria; Squamata; Lacertidae.